UGAGGAAUAUUGGGCAAUGCCCGCAAGGGUGACCCAGCAACGCCGCGUGGAGGAUGAAGGCCGUAAGGUUGUAAACUCCUGUUAGAGGGGAAGAAUAAUUCCGAUCGACCCGGAACUUGACUGUACCCUCAGAGAAAGCCCCGGCUAACUACGUGCCAGCAGCCGCGGUAAUACGUAGGGGGCAAGCGUUGUCCGGAUUUACUGGGUGUAAAGGGCGCGCAGGUGGGUUCGCAAGUCAGAGGUGAAAUCUCACGGCUUAACCGUGAAAGUGCCUUUGAUACUGUGAAUCUUGAGUUCGGAAGAGAGAGACGGAAUUCCAGGUGUAGUGGUGAAAUACGUAGAUAUCUGGAAGAACACCAGUUGCGAAGGCGGUCUCUUGGUCCGAUACUGACACUCAGGCGCGAAAGCGUGGGUAGCAAACAGGAUUAGAUACCCUGGUAGUCCACGCUGUAAACGAUGAAUACUAGGUGUUGGUGCCUUAGGCAUCAGUGCCGCAGCUAACGCAUUAAGUAUUCCACCUGGGGAGUACGAUCGCAAGGUUG
RNAcentral lists this ribosomal RNA (542 nucleotides) under uncultured bacterium. RNAcentral describes it as "bacterial SSU rRNA". It matches the Rfam family "Bacterial small subunit ribosomal RNA", at positions 355 to 896 of the family's 1533-position model. The record is from RNAcentral.